GGUUAAAAAGCUCGUAGUUGGAUUUCUGUUGAGGAUGGACGGUCCGCACUAAGUGCGUGUAUCUGUUACAGCCUCGGCAUCCUCUUGGAGAACGGUGCUGUGAUUCAUUUCAUGGUCCGGAAUUCAAGACUUUUACUUUGAGGAAAUUAGAGUGUUCACGGCAAGCAAUCGCUUUGAAUACAUUAGCAUGGAAUAAUAAUAUAGGACCUUGGUACUAUCUUGUUGGUUUCUAGAACUAAGGUAAUGAUUAAUAGGGAUAAUUGGGGGCAUUCGUAUUAACGCGUCAGAGGUGGAAUUCUCGGAUUGCGUUACGACGAACUACUGCGAAAGCAUUUGCCAAGGAUGUUUUCAUUGAUCAAGAACGAAAGUAUGGGGAUCGAAGACGAUUAGAUACCGUCGUAGUCUAUACCAUAAACUAUGCCAACUAGAGAUUGGAGGUCGUAUUUUUUAUGACUCCUUCAGCACCUUAUGAGAAAUCAAAGUCUUUGGGUUCCGGGGGGAGUAUGGUCGCAAGGCUGAAACUUAAAGGAAUUGACGGAAGGGCACCACCAGGAGUGGAGCCUGCGGCUUAAUUUGACUCAACACGGGAAAACUUACCAGGUCCAGACAUAGUAAGGAUUGACAGAUUGAUAGCUCUU
This 638-nucleotide ribosomal RNA is filed under the name uncultured marine eukaryote. RNAcentral's name for it is "SSU rRNA". It matches the Rfam family "Eukaryotic small subunit ribosomal RNA", at positions 617 to 1259 of the family's 1831-position model. The record is from RNAcentral.